This 500-nucleotide ribosomal RNA is filed under the name uncultured bacterium. RNAcentral's name for it is "partial 16S ribosomal RNA". It matches the Rfam family "Bacterial small subunit ribosomal RNA", at positions 30 to 523 of the family's 1533-position model. The record is from RNAcentral.
AUUGAACGCUGGCGGCAUGCUUUACACAUGCAAGUCGAACGGUAACAGGGAGCUUGCUCCGCUGACGAGUGGCGAACGGGUGAGUAAUGCGUCGGAACGUGCCGAGUAGUGGGGGAUAACGCAGCGAAAGUUGUGCUAAUACCGCAUACGUACUGAGGUAGAAAGUGGGGGACCUUCAGGCCUCACGCUAUUCGAGCGGCCGACGUCUGAUUAGCUAGUAGGUGAGGUAAAGGCUCACCUAGGCGACGAUCAGUAGUGGGUCUGAGAGGAUGAUCCGCCACACUGGGACUGAGACACGGCCCAGACUCCUACGGGAGGCAGCAGUGGGGAAUUUUGGACAAUGGGCGAAAGCCUGAUCCAGCCAUGCCGCGUGUCUGAAGAAGGCCUUCGGGUUGUAAAGGACUUUUGUCGGGGAGGAAAUCCCCAGCGCUAAUACCGCUGGGGGAUGACAGUACCUGAAGAAUAAGCACCGGCUAACUACGUGCCAGCCGCCGCCGUAA